This 402-nucleotide ribosomal RNA is filed under the name Photobacterium sp. AZTITEMP135. RNAcentral's name for it is "bacterial SSU rRNA". It matches the Rfam family "Bacterial small subunit ribosomal RNA", at positions 934 to 1335 of the family's 1533-position model. Lineage: Bacteria; Pseudomonadati; Pseudomonadota; Gammaproteobacteria; Vibrionales; Vibrionaceae. The record is from RNAcentral.
GGAGCAUGUGGUUUAAUUCGAUGCAACGCGAAGAACCUUACCUACUCUUGACAUCCAGAGAAUUCGCUAGAGAUAGCUUAGUGCCUUCGGGAACUCUGAGACAGGUGCUGCAUGGCUGUCGUCAGCUCGUGUUGUGAAAUGUUGGGUUAAGUCCCGCAACGAGCGCAACCCUUAUCCUUGUUUGCCAGCACGUAAUGGUGGGAACUCCAGGGAGACUGCCGGUGAUAAACCGGAGGAAGGUGGGGACGACGUCAAGUCAUCAUGGCCCUUACGAGUAGGGCUACACACGUGCUACAAUGGCGUAUACAGAGGGCUGCAAGCUAGCGAUAGUGAGCGAAUCCCACAAAGUACGUCGUAGUCCGGAUUGGAGUCUGCAACUCGACUCCANGAAGUCGGAAUCGC